RNAcentral lists this ribosomal RNA (327 nucleotides) under uncultured eukaryote. RNAcentral's name for it is "partial 18S ribosomal RNA". It matches the Rfam family "Eukaryotic small subunit ribosomal RNA", at positions 1470 to 1796 of the family's 1831-position model. The record is from RNAcentral.
CCCUUAGAUGUUCUGGGCCGCACGCGCGCUACACUGAUGAAUGCAACGAGCUCUACCCUUGACCGAAAGGCCCGGGUAAACUUGUGAAACUUCAUCGUGAUGGGGAUAGAUUAUUGCAAUUAUUAAUCUUCAACGAGGAAUUCCUAGUAAGCGCGAGUCAUCAGCUCGCGUUGAUUACGUCCCUGCCCUUUGUACACACCGCCUGUCGCUCCUACCGAUUGAAUGGUCCGGUGAAAUCUUCGGAUUGCUGACCAAGAUCCAGCAAUGGAGCUUGGUUGCGAGAAGUUGAUUAAACCUUAUUAUUUAGAGGAAGGAGAAGUCGUAACA